Molecule: long non-coding RNA, 88 nt
Organism: Thalassophryne amazonica
Lineage: Eukaryota; Metazoa; Chordata; Actinopteri; Batrachoidiformes; Batrachoididae
Exons: 3
Source: RefSeq, a predicted model, not a curated record
CCAUUCAAGAAUAAAGUUGCCCCCCUAUGUGUUGCAUGAAACAGAGCUUUAGAUGAGCAUGUAUAAUGGCCUAUAGGUGAUUUCACUG